GCAUAGUUCUUAGCAAUUUUUCUCCUUUUCCACUUUGUUAAUAAACUUCUUAACAUGCUAUUUUUCGAAUAAUUCUACUAUAAAGUAAUUAACAUGAACCUAUUUUAUCAUAUCAUGAUUGUUAGGAAUUUAUGAAUUUAGCUAUUCAUAAUCAUAAAUAAAUAUACCUGUUCUGGUAGGUUUGAUAAUUCUUGGCUUUGUUCAUCCAUAGCUUUUGCUUUGAAAUAUAUCUG
This 233-nucleotide long non-coding RNA is filed under the name Capsicum annuum. Its description in RNAcentral is "long non-coding RNA (CANN_LNC002957)". Lineage: Eukaryota; Viridiplantae; Streptophyta; Magnoliopsida; Solanales; Solanaceae. The record is from RNAcentral.